AAGAAAUCAACCGAGAUUCCGGUAGUAGCGGCGAGCGAACCUGGAUUAGCCCUUAAGCACUCGGUGAAGUAGGUGAACAAGCUGGAAAGCUUGGCGAUACAGGGUGAUAGCCCCGUAACCGACGCUUCAUCGAGCGUGAAAUCGAGUAGGGCGGGACACGUGAUAUCCUGUCUGAAUAUGGGGGGACCAUCCUCCAAGGCUAAAUACUCCUGACUGACCGAUAGUGAACCAGUACCGUGAGGGAAAGGCGAAAAGAACCCCUGUGAGGGGAGUGAAAUAGAACCUGAAACCGUGUACGUACAAGCAGUAGGAGCACCUUCGUGGUGUGACUGCGUACCUUUUGUAUAAUGGGUCAGCGACUUAUAUUCAGUGGCAAGGUUAACCGUAUAGGGGAGCCGUAGCGAAAGCGAGUCUUAACUGGGCGCUCAGUCUCUGGAUAUAGACCCGAAACCGGGUGAUCUAGCCAUGGGCAGGUUGAAGGUUGAGUAACAUCAACUGGAGGACCGAACCGACUAAUGUUGAAAAAUUAGCGGAUGACUUGUGGCUAGGGGUGAAAGGCCAAUCAAACUCGGAGAUAGCUGGUUCUCCCCGAAAGCUAUUUAGGUAGCGCCUCGGACGAAUACUACUGGGGGUAGAGCACUGUUAAGGCUAGGGGGUCAUCCCGACUUACCAACCCUUUGCAAACUCCGAAUAC
This 694-nucleotide ribosomal RNA is filed under the name Vibrio cholerae. RNAcentral's name for it is "partial 23S ribosomal RNA". It matches the Rfam family "Bacterial large subunit ribosomal RNA", at positions 219 to 963 of the family's 2925-position model. The record is from RNAcentral. Lineage: Bacteria; Pseudomonadati; Pseudomonadota; Gammaproteobacteria; Vibrionales; Vibrionaceae.